CCCUUAGAUGUUCUGGGCCGCACGCGCGCUACACUGACGAUGGCAACGAGUUUUUCCUUCGCCGAAAGGUGUGGGUAAUCUUUUGAAACAUCGUCGUGCUGGGGAUAGAUCAUUGCAAUUUUUGAUCUUGAACGAGGAAUUCCUAGUGAGCGCGAGUCAUCAGCUCGCGUUGAUUACGUCCCUGCCCUUUGUACACACCGCCCGUCGCUACUACCGAUUGAAUGGUUUAGUGAGGACUCCUGAUUGGCGCCGCCGCCCGGCAACGGAGCAGCGGACUGCCGAAAAGUUGUUCAAACUUGAUCAUUUAGAGGAAGUAAAAGUCGUAACA
RNAcentral lists this ribosomal RNA (328 nucleotides) under uncultured eukaryote. RNAcentral describes it as "partial 18S ribosomal RNA". It matches the Rfam family "Eukaryotic small subunit ribosomal RNA", at positions 1470 to 1796 of the family's 1831-position model. The record is from RNAcentral.